Long non-coding RNA from Solanum pennellii, 1155 nucleotides. RefSeq lists it as uncharacterized. The transcript has 2 exons. Lineage: Eukaryota; Viridiplantae; Streptophyta; Magnoliopsida; Solanales; Solanaceae. The record is from RefSeq and is a predicted model, not a curated record.
AUUGGUAUCACUUCUUGAAAUAGCAAGCUUUGUGUGUGGACAAGAGCCUUAUGGAUCUUUUGAAUCAUAGGUAAAAAUAAUAUUAAUGCACUAUUUUAGCAAGUGAGCUUCCUCGACUUGUUGAUUCGUUGGACAAAUGGAGCAAUUCAAGUCUGGCCGAGUUCGAUCCUCAGCAAGCCCAAAUUUUGGUUUUAGAGAUUUCAAUUAGAGACAUUGUUGGCACGAGACUCGUGGAGGAUUUUUGAAUAAUGAGAGAAAUAUCAAAAACACUUUUAAACUUAAACGAAAAUUAUUAUAGGUGUUUUGGAAUAAUUGAUGAUUUGUGGGGCAAAAAGAAAAAAGCGUAAAACUUGUCCAAUUAGGAACGAUUUACAAAAUAACAGAUCAGCAAAGGAAAAGAAAGUAGUGGCGCGCGGAAGCAGGAGGAGGAUGAAGGUAAUAACUAUACUUGGGACAAUUUUAUGUGAUCUGUUGCACCAGGUGUUUGCUUUUGUUUAUUGCCUAGCCAAAAUGCUAACAAAAAGGGUACUUUGUUGUAUAUGUGCUCUUAUGUUGUUAGAAUUUCUUAUCAAAACAGAUUAUUAGCUAUAUUUCUUAAAUCUGCCUUUACUCACUACACAGAUUCAGAUGAACCCAAGAGAAAGCUAUGAAGAACAGCAUAAUUCAGGAAUUAUUGUUUGUUCCUUUCCAGCUAGCUCUCUGUUGAUGAUCUUGUGAAGUUUCUUGGUACAGGACACACUGAAUUGCCAUCUCUGUGCAAUUUUUGUUACUUAUGUUAGCCUUCCUAACCAACAAGGGAAAAUUACUCUUCACUUCAGCUCCUGUCAACUUCCUCUUAUUAAACAAGACUACAACCAAACGCGAUUUAAUUUGUCCAUCUUUUAUGACAAGUACAUGAGGUGAAGGGUUAGUACUUCACUGUGUAGGGGUCCAUGUUUCACGCGAAAGAGCGAAACCUGGCAUGAUUGCUUGUACUCCGAUCCCCCACAUUUAGUUAUUCUUAUCAUCUGGCAUUCAGUGUAGUCAAACCAAUAGUUGUUUAGGUACUUUGUUAAUGUGUGGCUCGCUUUAGCUGUUGAUUCUACGAGAAGCUAUGUUUGUCCAGCUCAGGUACAUGAGCAUGUCAUGUUAUUCUUUUCAAUGCGUUGUUUUGAA